UGGGGGAAGAAAAAAAUACCUACUGAAAGGAAGGAACUUCUGAGCAGCUCUGAAAAACUGGCGUUUUAGGAGGACAGGAACAGGACAGGACACGCACCUUCUUGCACCACACAGCAGCACCACCACCACCACCACAGACAUGUCGGACUCCGAAGCCGCCGCUGCCCCCGCCGAGGCCCCCGUCCCCGCUGCUUGUGCUAGCAUCAAGGCUGACCUGGACAAAUGUGUGGCCGAGAAGGGAGCUGAGGGCUGCAAAGAUCUGAUGGAGGCCUUCGCUGCUUGUGUGAAGAGCGCUGCCGAGGGGACGUCAUGAGGAGUCGCCCUCCAGCCUCCAAUGUCCACUGCACUGAGUCCUCCAAGUUCCCAGCAUUCCCUUCUGCACAACAGCACUGGACUGAAUGAUGACAACAACGAUGAUGAUGAUGAUGAUCGUAGCGCAACAUACACCGUGUUGAUUCGGGCUGAGUUUGGGAUCUGGCGGCAGUAACCACAGUUUCCUCCCCCCUCCUGUUUUAGGCUUAUCUGGUGUCCCUGUCUUACCGCCAUCCCUCUUCUCCCUCUACAGCUGACAUGCAGUACAUGGGCAAUUCCAGAGGGCCGAUGGGCUGUGAUGUAAAUUGUCGACUUGAAAUGAAUACUUAUAAAAGGAAAUAAAAGUAUCAAAAAAUUGG
Long non-coding RNA from Amphiprion ocellaris (clown anemonefish), 671 nucleotides. NCBI's taxonomy places the organism in Eukaryota, Metazoa, Chordata, Actinopteri, Pomacentridae. The record is from Ensembl.